AAAUCUGGAUUAAAAUUACAUCACUUGGUUUUACAAAGUCAUUAAUUACAUCAGAUGAAAGAAUACAGCAGCUGAGUGCAGAAUGCAGAUGAAACAACUGCCCUGCAGAGGACACUCCACUGUCACUUCCAAGCCCAGCAGGUGCUCAGAGGAGUGACUGUAACCAUAGAAUUGUGCUCAGUGAUACCCCAGAUGAUGAGCAGAACUUGAAUGUGAAGAUACUGAUUUUGCUGAAUCUGUUUGACAAGUGUAUUCCAGAAGCAAAGAAAUAUCAUUGAACAAGACAUUGGUGUUUUUGGUUCACAAGACGACAGUGCAGUAAUUGGAAGGCUCAAAGGAGCAGUGGAAGCCCCCCAUGCGCUGCCCUCAGCCGAGAGGGGAAUGCAAAGACGACCACGAGGCAUGAAAGGAAGUUUGCCUACACAAGAGCCUUCUCCCAGUGUAAAUACAUGCUUGAUAGUGCAUCAAAGAUGAGAUCUUUGUAAUUCCUACAGUAUAUUUAAUGUAUAAUUUAUAUGAAAAGGACGCUUGAUUUGUAGUUGUAAAGUUUUGUAUACUUUUCAGUCUGUUUGUUUUUAUAUUUCCCCCCUAAGGCUAAGAAUAUCUCCACAAUGGACAACGCCUUGUAAAUAAUUAAUACCUACAUGAUUGA
This is a long non-coding RNA of Camarhynchus parvulus, 652 nucleotides long. RefSeq lists it as uncharacterized. The record is from RefSeq and is a predicted model, not a curated record. The transcript has 3 exons. NCBI's taxonomy places the organism in Eukaryota, Metazoa, Chordata, Aves, Passeriformes, Thraupidae.